This 253-nucleotide ribosomal RNA is filed under the name uncultured prokaryote. Its description in RNAcentral is "partial 16S ribosomal RNA". It matches the Rfam family "Bacterial small subunit ribosomal RNA", at positions 525 to 777 of the family's 1533-position model. The record is from RNAcentral.
ACGUAGGGUGCGAGCGUUAAUCGGAAUUACUGGGCGUAAAGCGUGCGCAGGCGGUUCGUUGUGUCGGUGGUGAAAGCCCCGGGCUUAACCUGGGAAUGGCCAUGGAAACUGGCGAACUGGAGUGUGGCAGAGGGGGGUGGAAUCCCCGGUGUAGCGGUGAAAUGCGUAGAGAUCGGGAGGAACAUCAGUGGCGAAGGCGGCCAUCUGGGACAACACUGACGCUGAAGCACGAAAGCGUGGGGAGCAAACAGGA